RNAcentral lists this ribosomal RNA (440 nucleotides) under uncultured bacterium. RNAcentral describes it as "partial 16S ribosomal RNA". It matches the Rfam family "Bacterial small subunit ribosomal RNA", at positions 338 to 795 of the family's 1533-position model. The record is from RNAcentral.
CCUACGGGUGGCAGCAGUGGGGAAUAUUGCACAAUGGGGGAAACCCUGAUGCAGCGACGCCGCGUGAGUGAAGAAGUAUUUCGGUAUGUAAAGCUCUAUCAGCAGGGAAGAAAAUGACGGUACCGGAUUAAGAAGCCCCUGCUAACUACGUGCCAGCAGCCGCGGUAAUACGUAGGGGGCAAGCGUUAGCCGGAUUUACUGGGUGUAAGGGGAGCGUAGACGGCAGCACAAGUCUGGAGUGAAAUGCCGGGGCUUAACCCCGGAACUGCUUUGGAAACUGUGCAGCUAGAGUGCAGGAGAGGUAAGUAGAAUUCCUAGUGUAGCGGUGAAAUGCGUAGAUAUUAGGAGGAACACCAGUGGCGAAGGCGGCUUACUGGACUGUAACGGACGUUGAGGCUCGAAAGCGUGGGGAGCAAACAGGAUUAGAUACCCUUGUAGUC